GUAGUCAUAUGCUUGUCUCAAAGAUUAAGCCAUGCAUGUCUAAGUAUAAGCAAUUAUACAGCGAAACUGCGAAUGGCUCAUUAAAUCAGUUAUCGUUUAUUUGAUAGUACCUUACUACUUGGAUAACCGUGGUAAUUCUAGAGCUAAUACAUGCUAAAAACCCCGACUCACGAAGGGGUGUAUUUAUUAGAUUAAAAGCCAAUGCCCUUCGGGGCUCACUGGUGAUUCAUAAUAACUUGUCGAAUCGCAUGGCCUUGCGCCGGCGAUGGUUCAUUCAAAUUUCUGCCCUAUCAACUUUCGACGGCUGGGUCUUGGCCAGCCAUGGCGACAACGGGUAACGGAGGGUUAGGGCUCGACCCCGGAGAACGAGCCUGAGAAACGGCUAUUACAUCCAAGGAAGGCAGCAGGCGCGCAAAUUACCCAAUACCGACUCGGUGAGGUAGUGACGAUAAAUACUGAUACAGGGCUCUUUUGGGUCUUGUAAUUGGAAUGAGUACAAUUUAAAUCCCUUAACGAGGAACAAUUGGGGGGCAAGUCUGGUGCCAGCAGCC
This 551-nucleotide ribosomal RNA is filed under the name uncultured eukaryote. Its description in RNAcentral is "SSU rRNA". It matches the Rfam family "Eukaryotic small subunit ribosomal RNA", at positions 20 to 575 of the family's 1831-position model. The record is from RNAcentral.